GUCAACAACAACCAGCAGCAGCCAACAACUUGUAGCUCUAGGUCUUUCCAUCCCCAUCACUGGACAACCGAUAAACUUGGACAACGGGGAUUGAGGUUUUGCGUUUGCCAAGUUGUUGCAUACCAUUGUAAACAUUGUAAUUUCUUCUUUUCUUCCUUGCACAACACACCGCAUACGUCUCGUAGCUUCAAACCACAGAUCAAACCGCAUGUAUUAACAACCCCAACCACUAGCAUCGUUCAUUUUACCAAGCAAAGUCCUGAACCCAAAUCCAGCUGAAUUUCUGGCCUUCCACUUGUGACAGCCUACGUGACCGAACUGGACCACUAUCGCGAGCGGAAAUGGAGUUCGGGUGUACCAGGGCGACACCUGCACAGGGGUCAGCGGAUCGCGGUUAGCGUUGGCCACGUUUCCGACGGUCCGCUCUGGCUUUGUGUGCGUUCGCUCGUCGGUCGCACGCACACCGAGACCCCGGACUGUUAUCUACCACAACAUACACCGAAACCGAACAACGACACAGACAGCUCCGUCCCAUUGUUGAUAAGCCAGCCGCGGUAACUAGCCGCGAGUACCGAUGGCGAGCACCCGGUACUAAAAGGGAGCUGGUGGACGAGGUACGUUACGAGUAAGCUCUUUGAAGCAGUUUGCCAGAGUUUGCCACUCCAAGCCCUGCAAGACAUCAUCAGCUAGACACAUCAGCACAGGGACCACAUUCCUCCGGGGCCACUUGAAGCCUGGGCCUGGGGGCGAGCGCUGGCUUAAACACCAAAGAGGAACAAAAACCACCCGGCCAACAACCUGACGUCAGGCGAGUCAAGAGGGCUUUUGCUCAUCGGUUCACGGUACACGAUUAGCACCUAGCAGGGUGGUGCUUUUUGCUGUUGAUUUUGCAAACAGGGAAGUGGACGAGGCCAUCGGUGUGUCGUCGGUGGUCGGUCGGUACUGUUAAAUCCCUUCUCCACUUACACGUGACCACUUGUCGCGCGUUCGGGAAGGGUAUAGGGAUUGUUGCCUGCUGCACCACAAAUAAGUCAUCAAUAACGUCGUCAACAACUGAUGUACUUGCUAAACACGAAACGUUUUAAUGUCCUGUAUAUGAAGGUACAGGUAGGCCACAGAGUUUGUUCUAAAUUUCAUGCAAAUUAAGCAACCAAUGAUUAAGCAAUACGGCCCGAGUCGUUCGUUCUGAAUAAAAAAAACCAAUGCUUGUUUAAA
This is a long non-coding RNA of Anopheles arabiensis, 1215 nucleotides long. RefSeq lists it as uncharacterized. NCBI's taxonomy places the organism in Eukaryota, Metazoa, Arthropoda, Insecta, Diptera, Culicidae. The record is from RefSeq and is a predicted model, not a curated record. The transcript is spliced from 2 exons.